RNAcentral lists this transfer RNA (65 nucleotides) under Cohnella sp. Its description in RNAcentral is "tRNA-OTHER". Lineage: Bacteria; Bacillati; Bacillota; Bacilli; Caryophanales; Paenibacillaceae. The record is from RNAcentral.
GGCGCAUGGAAGGGUUACUUCGACUUGUAAUCGGCUUGUCGUUGGUUCGAAUCCAACUCCCGCCG